GACGAACGCUGGCGGCGUGCUUAACACAUGCAAGUCGAACGGAGAGGCCCUGCUUUUGUGGGGUGCUCGAGUGGCGAACGGGUGAGUAACACGUGAGUAACCUGCCCUUGACUUUGGGAUAACUUCAGGAAACUGGGGCUAAUACCGGAUAGGAGCUCCUGCUGCAUGGUGGGGGUUGGAAAGUUUCGGCGGUUGGGGAUGGACUCGCGGCUUAUCAGCUUGUUGGUGGGGGAGUGGCUUACCAAGGCUUUGGCGGGUAGCCGGCCUGAGAGGGUGACCGGCCACAUUGGGACUGAGAUACGGCCCAGACUCCUACGGGAGGCAGCAGUGGGGAAUAUUGCACAAUGGGCGGAAGCCUGAUGCAGCAACGCCGCGUGCGGGAUGACGGCCUUCGGGUUGUAAACCGCUUUCGCCUGUGACGAAGCGUGGGUGACGGUAAUGGGUAAAGAAGCACCGGCUAACUACGUG
This 468-nucleotide ribosomal RNA is filed under the name uncultured bacterium. Its description in RNAcentral is "partial 16S ribosomal RNA". It matches the Rfam family "Bacterial small subunit ribosomal RNA", at positions 28 to 507 of the family's 1533-position model. The record is from RNAcentral.